This 2814-nucleotide ribosomal RNA is filed under the name Listeria monocytogenes. RNAcentral describes it as "bacterial LSU rRNA". It matches the Rfam family "Bacterial large subunit ribosomal RNA". The record is from RNAcentral. Lineage: Bacteria; Bacillati; Bacillota; Bacilli; Caryophanales; Listeriaceae.
UUGGUUAAGUUAGAAAGGGCGCACGGUGGAUGCCUUGGCACUAGGAGCCGAAGAAGGACGGGACUAACACCGAUAUGCUUUGGGGAGCUGUACGUAAGCGUUGAUCCAGAGAUUUCCGAAUGGGGGAACCCACUAUCUUUAGUCGGAUAGUAUCCUUACGUGAAUACAUAGCGUGAGGAAGGCAGACCCAGGGAACUGAAACAUCUAAGUACCUGGAGGAAGAGAAAGAAAAAUCGAUUUCCUGAGUAGCGGCGAGCGAAANNGAAGCGGUCUGGAAAGGCCCGCCAAAGACGGUAACAGCCCGGUAGUUGAAAUGGCUUUCCCUCCAGAGUGGAUCCUGAGUACGGCGGAACACGUGAAAUUCCGUCGGAAUCCGGGAGGACCAUCUCCCAAGGCUAAAUACUCCCUAGUGACCGAUAGUGAACCAGUACCGUGAGGGAAAGGUGAAAAGCACCCCGGAAGGGGAGUGAAACAGUUCCUGAAACCGUGUGCCUACAAGUAGUUAGAGCCCGUUAAUGGGUGAUAGCGUGCCUUUUGUAGAAUGAACCGGCGAGUUACGAUUUGUUGCAAGGUUAAGCGGAAAAAGCGGAGCCGUAGCGAAAGCGAGUCUGAAUAGGGCGCAUAAGUAACAGGUCGUAGACCCGAAACCAGGUGAUCUACCCAUGUCCAGGAUGAAGGUAAGGUAAUACUUACUGGAGGUCCGAACCCACGCACGUUGAAAAGUGCGGGGAUGAGGUGUGGGUAGCGGAGAAAUUCCAAUCGAACUUGGAGAUAGCUGGUUCUCUCCGAAAUAGCUUUAGGGCUAGCCUCGAGGUAAAGAGUCAUGGAGGUAGAGCACUGUUUGGACUAGGGGCCCUUCUCGGGUUACCGAAUUCAGAUAAACUCCGAAUGCCAUGUACUUAUACUCGGGAGUCAGACUGCGAGUGAUAAGAUCCGUAGUCGAAAGGGAAACAGCCCAGACCACCAGUUAAGGUCCCCAAAUAUAUGUUAAGUGGAAAAGGAUGUGGGGUUGCUUAGACAACCAGGAUGUUGGCUUAGAAGCAGCCACCAUUGAAAGAGUGCGUAAUAGCUCACUGGUCGAGUGACCCCGCGCCGAAAAUGUACCGGGGCUAAACAUAUUACCGAAACUGUGGAUGAACCUCUUUAGAGGUUCGUGGUAGGAGAGCGUUCUAAGGGCGGUGAAGUCAGACCGGAAGGACUGGUGGAGCGCUUAGAAGUGAGAAUGCCGGUAUGAGUAGCGAAAGAAGGGUGAGAAUCCCUUCCACCGAAUAUCUAAGGUUUCCUGAGGAAGGCUCGUCCGCUCAGGGUUAGUCGGGACCUAAGCCGAGGCCGAUAGGCGUAGGCGAUGGACAACAGGUAGAGAUUCCUGUACCAGUGCUAAUUGUUUAACCGAUGGGGUGACACAGAAGGAUAGGGAAUCGCACGAAUGGAAAUGUGCGUCCAAGCAGUGAGUGUGAGAAGUAGGCAAAUCCGCUUCUCGCGAAGCAUGAGCUGUGAUGGGGAAGGAAAUUAAGUACGGAAGUUCCUGAUUUCACGCUGUCAAGAAAAGCCUCUAGGAAGAGUAGUACUGCCCGUACCGCAAACCGACACAGGUAGAUGAGGAGAGAAUCCUAAGGUGAGCGAGAGAACUCUCGUUAAGGAACUCGGCAAAAUGACCCCGUAACUUCGGGAGAAGGGGUGCUCUAUUAGGGUGCAAGCCCGAGAGAGCCGCAGUGAAUAGGCCCAGGCGACUGUUUAGCAAAAACACAGGUCUCUGCAAAACCGUAAGGUGACGUAUAGGGGCUGACGCCUGCCCGGUGCUGGAAGGUUAAGAGGAGUGCUUAGCUUCGGCGAAGGUACGAAUUGAAGCCCCAGUAAACGGCGGCCGUAACUAUAACGGUCCUAAGGUAGCGAAAUUCCUUGUCGGGUAAGUUCCGACCCGCACGAAAGGCGCAACGAUCUGGGCACUGUCUCAACGAGAGACUCGGUGAAAUUAUAGUACCUGUGAAGAUGCAGGUUACCCGCGACAGGACGGAAAGACCCCGUGGAGCUUUACUGCAACCUGAUAUGGAAUGUUUGUACCGCUUGUACAGGAUAGGUAGGAGCCGAAGAGACGUGUGCGCUAGCAUACGAGGAGGCAAUGGUGGGAUACUACCCUGGCUGUAUGACCAUUCUAACCCGCCACGCUUAGCGCGUGGGGAGACAGUGUCAGGUGGGCAGUUUGACUGGGGCGGUCGCCUCCUAAAGAGUAACGGAGGCGCCCAAAGGUUCCCUCAGAAUGGAUGGAAAUCAUUCGCAGAGUGUAAAGGCACAAGGGAGCUUGACUGCGAGACUGACAAGUCGAGCAGGGACGAAAGUCGGGCUUAGUGAUCCGGUGGUUCCGCAUGGAAGGGCCAUCGCUCAACGGAUAAAAGCUACCCCGGGGAUAACAGGCUUAUCUCCCCCAAGAGUCCACAUCGACGGGGAGGUUUGGCACCUCGAUGUCGGCUCGUCGCAUCCUGGGGCUGUAGUCGGUCCCAAGGGUUGGGCUGUUCGCCCAUUAAAGCGGCACGCGAGCUGGGUUCAGAACGUCGUGAGACAGUUCGGUCCCUAUCCGUCGCGGGCGCAGGAAAUUUGAGAGGAGCUGUCCUUAGUACGAGAGGACCGGGAUGGACACACCGCUGGUGUACCAGUUGUUCCGCCAGGAGCAUCGCUGGGUAGCUAUGUGUGGCAGGGAUAAACGCUGAAAGCAUCUAAGCGUGAAGCCCCCCUCAAGAUGAGAUUUCCCAUUUCUUCGGAAAGUAAGAUCCCUGAAAGAUGAUCAGGUAGAUAGGUUUGGAGUGGAAGUGUAGCGAU